UACAGAGGUCUCAAGCGUUGUUCGGAUUCAUUGGGCGUAAAGGGUGCGUAGGCGGCGCGGUAAGUCGGGUGUGAAAUCUUGGAGCUUGACUCCGAAACUGCAUUCGAUACUGCCGUGCUUGAGGACUGGAGAGGAGACUGGAAUUUACGGUGUAGCGGUGAAAUGCGUAGAUAUCGUAAGGAAGACCAGUGGCGAAGGCGGGUCUCUGGACAGUUCCUGACGCUGAGGCACGAAGGUCAGGGGAGCAAACGGG
RNAcentral lists this ribosomal RNA (253 nucleotides) under uncultured bacterium. RNAcentral describes it as "partial 16S ribosomal RNA". It matches the Rfam family "Bacterial small subunit ribosomal RNA", at positions 524 to 776 of the family's 1533-position model. The record is from RNAcentral.